GAGGGGUGGAUAAAGGAUCCCCACUUAUCCAACAUCACCACUGGGAUACUCAGAAUCUCCUUUAAUGUCAACAACGUCAGGUGUCCAGGCACACUGGUGAGUGUUGCCUGCUCCCGAGUAACCAAGGAGGUCUGGGCAACAAAGGUUCCAAAUUGUAGACAGUGUCAGCUCAAAGUGACUCCAGGUUGUCCUUUACUUGACCCACAAACUGACAUGUCACAAACUGAUGUGACACCUUAGCCAAGAGGGCAAAAUGCUGCUGGAAGGAGAUGAAGGACUGGAAACAAACCCAGGUCUCCAUGUGGAAGAUGGGUGAUACCUGGUUGAUUUUUGUCACCAGAUAUAGCAGCAGCUGUGCUGUGCUCGGAAGCUGUUGGAAUAUGUGAAAUGGCAGGGAAAUUUAAAUUCACAAGCUAAUAUGAAUGCAAUGAGAAGCCUGAAAAAAGUCAGGAAAUGCCAAAAGUUAAGUUUUCUGUUACUAUGCUAACGUGAUAUGUUGCAUUUGCUAAUCCUCUUUUGCUUACUUACUGACAUUUUUUAUUUAAUCUAUACCAUCAUAAGUGGUGGGGGGGGCAUGCAGGUUGGUCUUUCCAGCACGAGGGAGUCCCCAGCAAGCAUUCCCCCAUGGGAUCUCCCUUUUCCACUGUAUCAAAUGCAAACAACAUGUCUUCACUUUUAAAGCAUCUCUCUUCUGUUGGUAUGUUCUCAAAUGCAGUCAAGCUGCCCAUAUACACUUGUGAUCCAACAGCGGUGCCAGCCUUUACUGUCCUUUAGUCACAUUUUCCCAUAAGCACCUUUGCACUUUCUCCCAUGCCUCUGGGUAUGCAAGCUCUGUCAAAAAUUUGCAGGUCCACUACAUUAUCCUCCUUCACAUUUCUCUAUUAAACCCCUUGUCUGUUGUGAUGCCUGCAAAAUACUCAACAAUGAAUAGGCAGUUGUGUGACUGCUGCUUCUAAUAACACUCUAUGCUCAUCACAACUGGUUCACUUUUAUUUUGUUAAUUUGUUGUAUCCACCAGUUCUCCUUCACCUUUCUGUAUGCUCUUUGGGGCCAAAACUGUCUUUUAUUUUUGUGUGUAUAUAGUUCUUACCACAUUCCCUCAUUGGGAACUGUAGAUGCUAAUUGUGAUGCUAUAUGGAAUUUGAGGGGGCACUUUAGGAUAUUAUGAAUACCAAUAUUGUAAAAGUGCAAUGAGUUAUGCCGGAUGUGCUGUGCAAGUUAUCUGCAAAAAUGUUAUAAUUUGCCAGGUAUGAUAAUUGUUUGUGUUUGUAUCACCUUUGUAUUAUAGGUUAUGUGUAUGAUAUGUCCGUAGUUCCAAACUUGUACUGUGCAUCUGGGUGACACCCGCAGACAGAUUGACAUUAACACUGCUUAGCCUGAUGGACGGCCCAUCAAGGGACAUCAGCUAUACAAUUGACCCAUUGAGAGAAGGCAAGGGAUACACCUUAUGACUCAGCAUGUCAUGCAGGGAUAUGCCUAUGGACAGAACUAUAAAGCUUCCAGACCAUGUGUUUGGAACAAAGGAAAUUCAAGCUUCAUGAUCAAAGACUAUAAAAGGCAGCUGCAUUUUCUUUAUUUUUUUUUCAGUCUGGCUCCUUGUCUUCAUUCCUGCUUCUUACCUCUGGAGUAACCUUUCUACAAAUGAAGCUCUGAAAAAAGGACUGAAUGACCCAUCCAAGCUGUGGAUGUGUUCCAGAGGGAUUUUCAAGCCAGAAAACUCACCAAUACUGCUAGGA
Molecule: long non-coding RNA, 1736 nt
Organism: Mauremys reevesii (Reeves's turtle)
Lineage: Eukaryota; Metazoa; Chordata; Testudines; Geoemydidae
Exons: 4
Source: RefSeq, a predicted model, not a curated record